Molecule: long non-coding RNA, 423 nt
Filed under: Nicotiana tabacum (common tobacco)
Lineage: Eukaryota; Viridiplantae; Streptophyta; Magnoliopsida; Solanales; Solanaceae
Description: long non-coding RNA (NTAB_LNC012036)
Source: RNAcentral
AGAUAGUGCCUCACCUGUAGACUCAGGGAUAGAAACAGUGGACAAAGAAGAUAUAAAAGUAUAAUGUGGUGACGACAGACGAUGAUAACUUAAACCGACAUAGUGGGGAUUAGGAUUAAGUGUGGAUCGUACACCUUUGCGGAGUGCAAUUGGUUGACUAAGAGGAGACAAGUCCGCAGUAGGUGCAGAAUCUGAUGCGGGGCGUGAAUCACCUGGACCUGAUGCUGGAUGUGGACGACGGUGAUAAGUCAAGAGUGGUGGAGCUGCAGAAGGUUGAACUGGAUUAUGUGGAGGAACUGGAGCUAUAGGUGGUGGAGCUACAACCGGAGCUGUAGGUGGUGGAACUAGAGCUAUAGGUGGUAGAGCUACAACUGGAGCUAUAGGUGGUGGAGCUACAACUGGAGCUGUAGGUGGUGGAGCUGG